GACGAACGCUGGCGGCGUGCUUAACACAUGCAAGUCGAACGGAAAGGCCCUGCUUUUGUGGGGUGCUCGAGUGGCGAACGGGUGAGUAACACGUGAGUAACCUGCCCUUGACUUUGGGAUAACUUCAGGAAACUGGGGCUAAUACCGGAUAGGAGCUCCUGCUGCAUGGUGGGGGUUGGAAAGUUUCGGCGGUUGGGGAUGGACUCGCGGCUUAUCAGCUUGUUGGUGGGGUAGUGGCUUACCAAGGCUUUGACGGGUAGCCGGCCUGAGAGGGUGACCGGCCACAUUGGGACUGAGGUACGGCCCAGACGCCUACGGGAGGCAGCAGUGGGGAAUAUUGCACAAUGGGCGGAAGCCUGAUGCAGAAACGCCGCGUGCGGGAUGACGGCCUUCGGGUUGUAAACCGCUUUCGACUGUGACGAAGCGUGAGUGACGGUAAUGGGUAAAGAAGCACCGGCUAACUACGUG
RNAcentral lists this ribosomal RNA (468 nucleotides) under uncultured bacterium. RNAcentral's name for it is "partial 16S ribosomal RNA". It matches the Rfam family "Bacterial small subunit ribosomal RNA", at positions 28 to 507 of the family's 1533-position model. The record is from RNAcentral.